Molecule: ribosomal RNA, 429 nt
Filed under: Pseudomonadota bacterium
Lineage: Bacteria; Pseudomonadati; Pseudomonadota
Description: Proteobacteria bacterium partial 16S ribosomal RNA
Rfam family: Bacterial small subunit ribosomal RNA
Source: RNAcentral
UGGGGAAUAUUGGACAAUGGGCGAAAGCCUGAUCCAGCCAUGCCGCGUGUGUGAAGAAGGUCUUCGGAUUGUAAAGCACUUUAAGUUGGGAGGAAGGGCAGUAAGAGAAUACCUUGCUGUUUUGACGUUACCGACAGAAUAAGCACCGGCUAACUCUGUGCCAGCAGCCGCGGUAAUACAGAGGGUGCAAGCGUUAAUCGGAAUUACUGGGCGUAAAGCGCGCGUAGGUGGUUCGUUAAGUUGAAUGUGAAAGCCCCGGGCUCAACCUGGGAACUGCAUCCAAAACUGGCGAGCUAGAGUAGGGCAGAGGGUGGUGGAAUUUCCUGUGUAGCGGUGAAAUGCGUAGAUAUAGGAAGGAACACCAGUGGCGAAGGCGACCACCUGGGCUCAUACUGACACUGAGGUGCGAAAGCGUGGGGAGCAAACAGG